AUUGAACGCUGGCGGCAUGCCUUACACAUGCAAGUCGAACGGCGAGCACGGGAGCAAUCCUGGUGGCGAGUGGCGAACGGGUGAGUAAUAUAUCGGAACGUGCCCAGUCGUGGGGGAUAACGUAGCGAAAGCUACGCUAAUACCGCAUACGAUCUAUGGAUGAAANCGGGGGAUCGCAAGACCUCGCGCGAUUGGAGCGGCCGAUAUCAGAUUAGGUAGUUGGUGAGGUAAAGGCUCACCAAGCCGACGAUCUGUAGCUGGUCUGAGAGGACGACCAGCCACACUGGGACUGAGACACGGCCCAGACUCCUACGGGAGGCAGCAGUGGGGAAUUUUGGACAAUGGGCGCAAGCCUGAUCCAGCAAUGCCGCGUGCAGGAUGAAGGCCUUCGGGUUGUAAACUGCUUUUGUACGGAACGAAACGGUGAGCUCUAAUACAGUUUGCUAAUGACGGUACCGUAAGAAUAAGCACCGGCUAACUACGUG
This 485-nucleotide ribosomal RNA is filed under the name uncultured bacterium. RNAcentral's name for it is "bacterial SSU rRNA". It matches the Rfam family "Bacterial small subunit ribosomal RNA", at positions 30 to 507 of the family's 1533-position model. The record is from RNAcentral.